GAACCAGUGGCUCAGUGGUAGAGCGUUAGAUUCACAUUCGAAAGAUCGAUGGUUCGAAUCCAUCCGGGUUCACCA
RNAcentral lists this transfer RNA (75 nucleotides) under Candidatus Woesebacteria bacterium RIFCSPLOWO2_01_FULL_37_19. Its description in RNAcentral is "tRNA-Val". It matches the Rfam family "tRNA". Rfam says of the family: Transfer RNA (tRNA) molecules are approximately 80 nucleotides in length. Their secondary structure includes four short double-helical elements and three loops (D, anti-codon, and T loops). The record is from RNAcentral. Lineage: Bacteria; Candidatus Woeseibacteriota.